GAAAUAAACGUUAGCUAGCAUUGGCAGUAUUGAUUUGAAAUAUCUUUUGAUUAUUUUACAUUGAUCAUUACACUAUGGCAGAUGAUGGCGAAUUGGAGAAACGUGCGGUGGAGGAGCUACUGAAGGAGACCAGUAGGGCUCGGGUGCGAGCAGAAACUAUGGUCCAGCAGGCUGGAUGAAAUGUCCACUGCGCAGCACCAACAAGCGUUUCCUGCUCAACACACUGCGCACCACCAUCCCACAGCGCCGCCCUACUGGCCACUCAGGAGAACAGACAC
Salvelinus sp. IW2-2015 is the source of this 278-nucleotide non-coding RNA. The record is from RefSeq and is a predicted model, not a curated record. Lineage: Eukaryota; Metazoa; Chordata; Actinopteri; Salmoniformes; Salmonidae.